AUGGCCGACGGCGCCGCCAACCCGGAGAUGGAGAACAAGUCCCCGGCCGACGUAGAGGCUCCUAAGGCCACCAAGACGGCAGUGGACGCAUACCAGAAGAAGAUGGGGGCGCUCUCGCUAUCGGCGCCGGAGGACGACGUCGGCGUCCUGCCACUCGACCUGCUCCACGACAUCCUACUGCGCCUCCCUGCCAAGUCGGUCUGCCGCUUCCGCGCCGUUUGCACCGCAUGGCACUCCCUGCUCUGCCACCUGGAUUUCAUCGCGGCCGCUCAACCUGGCCCGCGCAUCGCAGUUGGCCUGUGCCAUGACGGCCCUGGCGAUGCCGUCGUCAGCGUCCUGGACAUGGAUUCUGGCCACGUCCUCAAGCAGGUAAGCAUUGACGUCGUCACAAGCCGCCACAGCACGCCGCCGCCGCACGAGACGCCCGACGUGAGUCCCGAACGAGCAGUCUGUGUCGUGGGCAGCGACGGGCGGCUCCACCUGAUCGACCCUGCCACCGGCGCAGUCAAACUCUUGCCUGACCCGCCGGCAUCAAACCACAUGUCUACUUUGUGCACGCUUGGGUGCGCCGCCUUGACGGGAGAGUACAAGGUGCUCGCCAUCGCGAACGCAGCUAAGCAUACGUGGCAGCAGAUAUGCAAGAUCCUCACCCUCAACGAUAAUGGCGGGGAGCAGCGCUGGAGGGAGACCGGGAGCCCAGGGUACAGUUUGCUAGCGCCACUACCGCCCCGGACUUACAGCAGGGAGGUCGCUGUGGUCGAGGGGGUGGCCUACUUCCUGGUCAAGCCCGACGACACACCCGACGUGCAGCAUGCCUGGAUCAAGGCCCGGAGUGCAAGCACAAUGUCGCCUUAG
This 855-nucleotide ribosomal RNA is filed under the name Triticum aestivum (bread wheat). Its description in RNAcentral is "partial small subunit ribosomal RNA". Lineage: Eukaryota; Viridiplantae; Streptophyta; Magnoliopsida; Poales; Poaceae. The record is from RNAcentral.